RNAcentral lists this ribosomal RNA (705 nucleotides) under Bacillus zhangzhouensis. RNAcentral describes it as "bacterial SSU rRNA". It matches the Rfam family "Bacterial small subunit ribosomal RNA", at positions 106 to 797 of the family's 1533-position model. Lineage: Bacteria; Bacillati; Bacillota; Bacilli; Caryophanales; Bacillaceae. The record is from RNAcentral.
GUGAGUAACACGUGGGUAACCUGCCUGUAAGACUGGGAUAACUCCGGGAAACCGGAGCUAAUACCGGAUAGUUCCUUGAACCGCAUGGUUCAAGGAUGAAAGACGGUUUCGGCUGUCACUUACAGAUGGACCCGCGGCGCAUUAGCUAGUUGGUGGGGUAAUGGCUCACCAAGGCGACGAUGCGUAGCCGACCUGAGAGGGUGAUCGGCCACACUGGGACUGAGACACGGCCCAGACUCCUACGGGAGGCAGCAGUAGGGAAUCUUCCGCAAUGGACGAAAGUCUGACGGAGCAACGCCGCGUGAGUGAUGAAGGUUUUCGGAUCGUAAAGCUCUGUUGUUAGGGAAGAACAAGUGCGAGAGUAACUGCUCGCACCUUGACGGUACCUAACCAGAAAGCCACGGCUAACUACGUGCCAGCAGCCGCGGUAAUACGUAGGUGGCAAGCGUUGUCCGGAAUUAUUGGGCGUAAAGGGCUCGCAGGCGGUUUCUUAAGUCUGAUGUGAAAGCCCCCGGCUCAACCGGGGAGGGUCAUUGGAAACUGGGAAACUUGAGUGCAGAAGAGGAGAGUGGAAUUCCACGUGUAGCGGUGAAAUGCGUAGAGAUGUGGAGGAACACCAGUGGCGAAGGCGACUCUCUGGUCUGUAACUGACGCUGAGGAGCGAAAGCGUGGGGAGCGAACAGGAUUAGAUACCCUGGUAGUCCA